GUCCUCAGUUCCCUUUAUUCAUUUUCCAUCAUUUUCCCUGGAAAUACUUAAUAAUAGGUGAAGGACACAGGACUAAGAAUAUGAAAUGCCAACUAAAACAGUUCAAUACUGAUAACAAAAUUCUUUUACUGACUCUUAUUAAACCAUUCAUCAGAAUUUUGGUCAUUGCUAAACUUUUUGUUUCCACAUGUAUUUGAUUACUUGAAAAGGUAGGUAAGACAAUAUGUAACAUUUUCUUUUUUUUCCCCAAAAACUCAAAAUCCUUUCUCUUUGCUGACAUUAUUUCCUUUCUUCUAGGUAGCUAAAUUGAAUGAUUAUUUUUUCAUGUUCUUUGUAGGGUAUAAUGUGUGUUCCAUUUUUGACACAAAGUAUGUGAGAGCAGAUAAAAGAUGAUUUAAAAAUUAACUUGCAUUGGACUGGGGAGGUAGCUCAGUGGGAUUGUACUUGCCUACCCAUGUGAGGCCUGGGUUUUGUUUUCAAGCACUGUAAAACAGAACAGAACAGAACAAAACACAACAAAAAACUUACCUCUUUUUAUUAAAGAAAAACUAAAAUUACUACCUUCCACAAAUUCUUCUUAGCUUUAGAUAAAUUUUCCUAUUUUUAACUUUACUAAAUAAUCCAUGGAGAUAGAAAUGAUAAAUGUAUUCCCAACUUUACAUGUAAGAAAGCCUAAACGGUACAGAGGCUGUGAUUCAAUGGUAAAGCAAUUACCUAGCUUAUAUGAGGCACUGGAUUUGAGUCUCAGCACCACAUAUAAAUUAAUAAAUAAAUGAAGGUCC
Molecule: long non-coding RNA, 782 nt
Filed under: Marmota monax (woodchuck)
Lineage: Eukaryota; Metazoa; Chordata; Mammalia; Rodentia; Sciuridae
Source: RNAcentral